ACACAUUUUGAUGCACAAUGCGUGGCUGGCACAACAUCAAGCCAUGAAAUGGUUUGAUGAAUGUCCGACCUAUUCCCAUCCCACAAAGGAUACAUCCAAACCUGCUGCUACCCAAGUACAAAUGUGAACGAUCAGCUGGAAACAAUAAAACACAUACCGCUCAGAUGGAAUAGGAUUUUCUCCAUAGUAAGAUCGCCUCUUCUCAACUUGAUACGGAUCAGUUGGAGGUCCCGGAUAAUACGGAUCAUUUAGAGGUGCCGGAUAAUAUGGAUCAUUUGGAGGUGCCGGAUAAUACGGAUCAUUUAGAGGCAGAACAGAUGAUGGAACAUAUCGAGCUUCGAUGCCACGUGGUGCACGUGC
RNAcentral lists this long non-coding RNA (360 nucleotides) under Phoenix dactylifera (date palm). RNAcentral's name for it is "long non-coding RNA (PDAC_LNC005926)". Lineage: Eukaryota; Viridiplantae; Streptophyta; Magnoliopsida; Arecales; Arecaceae. The record is from RNAcentral.